RNAcentral lists this ribosomal RNA (490 nucleotides) under uncultured bacterium. RNAcentral describes it as "partial 16S ribosomal RNA". It matches the Rfam family "Bacterial small subunit ribosomal RNA", at positions 30 to 507 of the family's 1533-position model. The record is from RNAcentral.
AUUGAACGCUGGCGGCAGGCCUAACACAUGCAAGUCUAACGGUAACAGAAAGCAGCUUGCUGCUUUGCUGACGAGUGGCGGACGGGUGAGUAAUGUCUGGGAAACUGCCUGAUGGAGGGGGAUAACUACUGGAAACGGUAGCUAAUACCGCAUAACGUCGCAAGACCAAAGAGGGGGACCUUCGGGCCUCUUGCCAUCGGAUGUGCCCAGAUGGGAUUAGCUAGUAGGUGGGGUAAAGGCUCACCUAGGCGACGAUCCCUAGCUGGUCUGAGAGGAUGACCAGCCACACUGGAACUGAGACACGGUCCAGACUCCUACGGGAGGCAGCAGUGGGGAAUAUUGCACAAUGGGCGCAAGCCUGAUGCAGCCAUGCCGCGUGUAUGAAGAAGGCCUUCGGGUUGUAAAGUACUUUCAGCGGGGAGGAAGGGAGUAAAGUUAAUACCUUUGCUCAUUGACGUUACCCGCAGAAGAAGCACCGGCUAACUCCGUG